UUUCCGUAGGUGAACCUGCGGAAGGAUCAUUAUUGUAUAACCGAGGUGCGAGGGCUGUCGCUGACCCGAAAGGUCUCGAACGCCCGCCUGCCCUCCCACACAUCCAUCUCACCCCUCUGUGCACCACCGCGUGGGUCCCCCUUUGGCGUGUUCGGAGGGGGGCUUACGUUUUCACACAAACUUUGUAUGCAGUGUAGAAUGUAUGUUUUGUGUUUGCGAUCACGCAAUAAAUACAACUUUCAACAACGGAUCUCUUGGCUCUC
RNAcentral lists this unclassified non-coding RNA (263 nucleotides) under plant metagenome. RNAcentral's name for it is "partial contains small subunit ribosomal RNA, internal transcribed spacer 1, and 5.8S ribosomal RNA". The record is from RNAcentral.